CGUGAAUUGAUGGAAAUCUAUAACAGUAGUUUUGAAAUAAGAAACUUUCAUUGUUACCACUCAAAACAAUAAGCAUUCGGUUCUAAAACUACCCAUCUAUAUUAUGUAUUCAUGAUUCGCGUCAUAAAAUAUAUAAUAUUCUGACCUAUUCUGUAACCUAUUUUAGAACGCGUGAUGAUUACUAGCCAGGAAAUAAAAACUGCCAAUAUCGCGAUAAGUAACUAGC
Cinara cedri is the source of this 226-nucleotide non-coding RNA. The record is from the annotation of a GenBank genome assembly. NCBI's taxonomy places the organism in Eukaryota, Metazoa, Arthropoda, Insecta, Hemiptera, Aphididae.